CCCUUGCCAUGACCAAUCACCCUGACAGAAGUACUAACUCCUGGUAGCCUCCUUAAGAGCAUGGCUUGCAUCAAAGGCUCCAGGGUUAGAGAUGAGCAAGUUUCCUGUGGUCUUUUAUUGCAGGAGGGGAAGUGAAGAAGUCAGCUUAGCUAUUGCAACAGGUGGGUCUGCUUUAAAAACACACCUUUCACUCCUUUCACUCUCUUCUGAGGUAAAGAAAUGAAUGUGGGAAGGGCCCCUUGUAAAAAAGGGGGAAUCUCCUUUCAAAGGGGAGCGUGUGCACCCUUGGUAACCUGACUCGGAGCCGUAGUUCUGUGCACAGUAGCUGCAGUAACUCCCCUACGUGUAAUUUUUUUUUUUCCUCAGGUCUGCUGCUUUGUACCCCUCAGCACCCUGGGAGAUAACGCAGAAAAGCAAAGUGGCCCCUUGGUCCUUUCUGGGUUGCCACGAUUUGAAACGUCAGAUGACAGCAGUUGGCAAGCCUGGCAGGAACACUGCAUUUCACCAAGAAGUGAAAGACCUGAGCGUGCAACACGUGAGAGGAAAAGCACACCUCACAAUUAGAGAAGCUCUCCUCGUAGAGAGGGAGAGGAGUUGCCAUUAAGUUGAAGAAGAGCCUGGGGAAGAGAUUUCGCAGGUAGACAGCCAGCGAGGGCAUCAGGCCGGCCACGAGAACUUCCUUCUUCUUCCGCCCCACUGCACUGAGAACCACCUGAGCGACCUCUGCGGCUGUCUGGCCUUCAGCGGUGUUCUUGUCCAUAACUGCCAAAACAAAGCCGAGGAAACACCAACGUCAGCAGGAAUGUGGCAAACAAGCUGAUCUCUGCCUGCCUGAAGGCUGCAGCGAGCCGUGAACCCAGUCAGCAGCUGCAGCCCGCUUCUGCAGCUUCCAGGCUGGAGUUUGAAUCAACAGGAUUCUUGAGAACUUUGAGCAGAACUGGACUGAGAGAUGAGUUUCUCGUCACACUCUGCAGCAGCACCUGGUAUCUGCUGGGGAAACGGGCGUUCCCUCAGGCAAACCACACUCACUAAAUCCUUUUUAAGCCGUGUUUGACAGGGAAGAAGAGUGAGCGUUGCUUGCAUUUAACAACAGCUAAAUGUUUUUGGUGAUCCAACCGCUUUGGAGAGAAAUUGACACAAAACGUAUAGACACUGAGGUCAGGGGAAAAGAAGGAAGACAGCAUUGUCUAUUCAAUCAGUGAUUUAAUACAAGCGAACGGGAGAUUUGACAACUUCUCUGACUCACCAGGUCCCCACAGAAUGGUAAGUGAAGGUUCAAAAAGCUCGCUCAGAAUCUCAUGAGAAAAAAGCGACUACACUCAUUUAAACAGCUGAAUUAACAAAAUGCUUGUGUGCACUUGCACUGUCUGCUUUCACUCCAAACUUCAUGAACAGAAAAUGAUGCCAAAAAUACCCCGAGGUCAGUAGAAAUCAGCAGAAGUCCUAAGAAGGAACUCAGUGCCUGGACAGAAGUCAUCAGUAAAAGAGAAAAGAGAAAAGGAAGGAGGGGUUUGGGAGAAGCAAUCUAAGAACCAGCCGGACUUCUUAAAAGAAAUGAUGGAAAGCGUGACGGUGAGGACUGCCACAGGCGUGCUAGGCACCAGGAGCAGUCGGACACCAGGUCUGUAAGCUUUAUUCUAAGCAAGUGGCAACAAGGAUCAUUUUUUUGAGGUU
Molecule: long non-coding RNA, 1674 nt
Organism: Cygnus olor (mute swan)
Lineage: Eukaryota; Metazoa; Chordata; Aves; Anseriformes; Anatidae
Exons: 4
Source: RefSeq, a predicted model, not a curated record